Molecule: ribosomal RNA, 570 nt
Filed under: Marinobacter nauticus
Lineage: Bacteria; Pseudomonadati; Pseudomonadota; Gammaproteobacteria; Pseudomonadales; Marinobacteraceae
Description: bacterial SSU rRNA
Rfam family: Bacterial small subunit ribosomal RNA
Source: RNAcentral
CGGACGGGUGAGUAAUGCUUAGGAAUCUGCCCAGUAGUGGGGGAUAGCCCGGGGAAACCCGGAUUAAUACCGCAUACGUCCUACGGGAGAAAGCAGGGGAUCUUCGGACCUUGCGCUAUUGGAUGAGCCUAAGUCGGAUUAGCUAGUUGGUGGGGUAAAGGCCUACCAAGGCGACGAUCCGUAGCUGGUCUGAGAGGAUGAUCAGCCACAUCGGGACUGAGACACGGCCCGAACUCCUACGGGAGGCAGCAGUGGGGAAUAUUGGACAAUGGGGGCAACCCUGAUCCAGCCAUGCCGCGUGUGUGAAGAAGGCUUUCGGGUUGUAAAGCACUUUCAGUAGGGAGGAAAACCUUAUGGCUAAUACCCAUGAGGCUUGACGUUACCUACAGAAGAAGCACCGGCUAACUCCGUGCCAGCAGCCGCGGUAAUACGGAGGGUGCAAGCGUUAAUCGGAAUUACUGGGGCGUAAAGCGCGCGUAGGUGGUUUGGUUAAGCGAGAUGUGAAAGCCCCGGGCUUAACCUGGGAACGGCAUUUCGAACUGUCAGACUAAAGUGUGGUAGAGGGUAGUG